UUGAUCCUGCCGGACCCCACUGCUAUCGGGAUAGGACUAAGACAUGCUAGUCAAGCGCUCUCAAGCCAACAAGAGAGUGCGGCACACAGCUCAGUAACACGUGGCUAACCUGCCCUCGAGACGGAGACAACCCCGGGAAACUGGGGCUAAUAUUCGAUAGGCGAAGAGCUCUGGAAUGAGCCUUUACCCAAAAGAUGACUAGGUUAUGCUCCUGGUCAUCGCCCGAGGAUGGGGCCGCGACCGAUCAGGUUGUUGGUGAGGUAACGGCUCACCAAGCCAUUGACCGGUGCGGGCCGUGGGAGCGGGAGCCCGGAGAUGGGCACUGAGACAAGGGCCCAGGCCCUACGGGGCGCAGCAGUCGCGCAAACUUUGCAAUACACGAAAGUGUGACAGGGCUAUCCCGAGUGCCGUCCGCUGAGGAUGGCUUUUACCCAGUCUAGAAAGCUGGGAGAAUAAGGAGAGGGCAAGUCUGGUGUCAGCCGCCGCGGUAAUACCAGCCCUCCGAGUGGUGUGGAUGUUUAUUGGGCCUAAAGCAUCCGUAGCUGGCCAAGCCAGUCCCCUGUUAAACCCAACGAAUUAAUCGUUGGAUUGCGGGGGAUACUGCUCGGCUAGGGGACGAGAGAGGCCGACGGUAUUCUCGGGGUAGGGGUGAAAUCCUAUAAUCCCGGGAAGACCACCAGUGGCGAAGGCUGUCGGCUAGAACGAGCCCGACGGUGAGGGAUGAAAGCUGGGGGAGCGAACCGGAUUAGAUACCCGGGUAGUCCCAGUUGUAAACGAUGCAGGCUAGGUGUUUGGACGGCCACGCGCCGUUCUAGUGCCGCAGGGAAGCUGUUAAGCCUGCCGCCUGGGGAGUACGAUCGCAAGAUUGAAACUUAAAGGAAUUGGCGGGGGAGCACCACAAGGGGUGAAGCUUGCGGUUUAAUUGGAGUCAACGCCGG
Molecule: ribosomal RNA, 938 nt
Filed under: uncultured archaeon
Lineage: Archaea
Description: bacterial SSU rRNA
Rfam family: Archaeal small subunit ribosomal RNA
Source: RNAcentral